RNAcentral lists this ribosomal RNA (429 nucleotides) under uncultured bacterium. RNAcentral's name for it is "bacterial SSU rRNA". It matches the Rfam family "Bacterial small subunit ribosomal RNA", at positions 355 to 776 of the family's 1533-position model. The record is from RNAcentral. RNAcentral also lists the same sequence under 1 other name.
UAGGGAAUCUUCCACAAUGGGCGAAAGCCUGAUGGAGCAACGCCGCGUGAGUGAAGAAGGAUUUCGGUUCGUAAAACUCUGUUGUAAGGGAAGAACAAGUACAGUAGUAACUGGCUGUACCUUGACGGUACCUUAUUAGAAAGCCACGGCUAACUACGUGCCAGCAGCCGCGGUAAUACGUAGGUGGCAAGCGUUGUCCGGAAUUAUUGGGCGUAAAGCGCGCGCAGGUGGUUUCUUAAGUCUGAUGUGAAAGCCCACGGCUCAACCGUGGAGGGUCAUUGGAAACUGGGAGACUUGAGUGCAGAAGAGGAUAGUGGAAUUCCAAGUGUAGCGGUGAAAUGCGUAGAGAUUUGGAGGAACACCAGUGGCGAAGGCGACUAUCUGGUCUGUAACUGACACUGAGGCGCGAAAGCGUGGGGAGCAAACAGG